RNAcentral lists this non-coding RNA (100 nucleotides) under Paenibacillus macerans. RNAcentral describes it as "Guanine sequence". It matches the Rfam family "Purine riboswitch aptamer". Rfam says of the family: Riboswitches are metabolite binding domains within certain messenger RNAs that serve as precision sensors for their corresponding targets. Allosteric rearrangement of mRNA structure is mediated by ligand binding, and this results in modulation of gene expression. A class of riboswitches that selectively recognises guanine and becomes saturated at concentrations as low as 5 nM. Lineage: Bacteria; Bacillati; Bacillota; Bacilli; Caryophanales; Paenibacillaceae. The record is from Rfam by way of RNAcentral.
AAUAUGUUAAUAUUUUGAUUUCGUAUAUCCCCGGUAAUACGGAUCGGGGGUCUCUACAAGGAACCCUAAAUUCCUGGCUACGAAUAGGAGCUUUCGCAUA